GAUCAUGGCUCAGGACGAACGCUGGCGGCGCGCCUAACACAUGCAAGUCGAACGAGGAGAUGAGAGCUUGCUCUUCAAAUCGAGUGGCGAACGGGUGAGUAACGCGUGAGGAACCUGCCUCAAAGAGGGGGACAACAGUUGGAAACGACUGCUAAUACCGCAUAAGCCCACAGCUCGGCAUCGAGCAGAGGGAAAAGNGCGAUCCGCUUUGAGAUGGCCUCGCUCCGG
RNAcentral lists this ribosomal RNA (228 nucleotides) under uncultured bacterium. Its description in RNAcentral is "partial 16S ribosomal RNA". It matches the Rfam family "Bacterial small subunit ribosomal RNA", at positions 15 to 239 of the family's 1533-position model. The record is from RNAcentral.